RNAcentral lists this ribosomal RNA (490 nucleotides) under uncultured bacterium. Its description in RNAcentral is "partial 16S ribosomal RNA". It matches the Rfam family "Bacterial small subunit ribosomal RNA", at positions 30 to 507 of the family's 1533-position model. The record is from RNAcentral.
AUUGAACGCUGGCGGCAGGCCUAACACAUGCAAGUCGAAUGGUAACAGGAAACAGCUUGCUGUUUCGCUGACGAGUGGCGGACGGGUGAGUAAUGUCUGGGAAACUGCCUGAUGGCGGGGGAUAACUACUGGAAACGGUAGCUAAUACCGCAUAACGUCGCAAGACCAAAGAGGGGGACCUUAGGGCCUCUUGCCAUCAGAUGUGCCCAGAUGGGAUUAGCUAGUAGGUGGGGUAACGGCUCACCUAGGCGACGAUCCCUAGCUGGUCUGAGAGGAUGACCAGCCACACUGGAACUGAGACACGGUCCAGACCCCUACGGGAGGCAGCAGUGGGGAAUAUUGCACAAUGGGCGAAAGCCUGAUGCAGCCAUGCCGCGUGUAUGAAGAAGGCCUUCGGGUUGUAAAGUACUUUCAGCGGGGAGGAAGGGAGUAAAGUUAAUACCUUUGCUCAUUGACGUUACCCGCAGAAGAAGCACCGGCUAACUCCGUG